This is a long non-coding RNA of Anas platyrhynchos (mallard), 4379 nucleotides long. RefSeq lists it as uncharacterized. The record is from RefSeq and is a predicted model, not a curated record. Lineage: Eukaryota; Metazoa; Chordata; Aves; Anseriformes; Anatidae.
GGAAGCGCCGCUGCCCCGCACGGAGCCGCUUUGACAUCUUAGCCCGGACUGAGGGAGACAAACUUUCAUCAGCUGGGGCUGGAGAGCAGCACCAUAAUAUACAGUUACGGCGAGGAGCGAGCCGGGACUCAGGAUGGAACCACGAACAGCUACAUCCCAUGGAGAGGUUACAAUACUGAAUUCACCUCAUCACUGACCGCAGAACCCCAGAACUGAAGUGCUUCUAGUUUGGCAGUUUUGCCAAAGCUAAACACAGAGCUAAAGAAAAAACCAGGACCUCCCCAAACACUUCCAGUUAGUUCAGCUGGGAAACAAGUUUUGCUUGCAGAGCCAAACCAGAAUGAUGCCACUAUCAGCAGGCAGGCCAGCACCACCCAACAAGCAGCACGGGCUCCUCUCUCUGAGCAAGGACUUUGGGAAAGGAUUUUUGUGAUUGUGAUUUCAGUGGUAGAUAUGUAUUUAAAUCAAAGCUUGAUGUGUAUUUGCAUUCCUAUAUUAAACUUUUCUACAGUACAUUUCAGUACCGUUUUUUAUCCUAAUGCUUUUCUUUAUGCUCAGGUGUCCUUCUUGCAUUUCAUUUGUGCCCCUGCUUUCUAAUCGCCUUUCAUUAGGAAGUUUGCAAAUUGGGAAUGGCCUCAGAGGGGGCUGGGACUUCACAGCCCCCCGUUGCUUGGUGCUGACCCGUGGGCACGACCGCGGGGGAGCACAGAGAGAGCACCUCCCAGGCAUCCAGCCCGCUGUAACCCAGCUCAGCAAGAAGCGUACUGAGAAAUAAACUACACAGGCUGAAGUCAUAGAGCUUGAUGAAAUAUGACCUUGUGGGACAACCCUGUGUACUGAUCUACUCUGUCAGUGAACAAGUGGCCAGUCAAUGCUCCCGGAAAGACAAUUACCCACCCAUCAAAGCACACAGGCAUUUUUGUCCUUGGAGUCAAAGGAGCAAACAUCUUUGCGGAAGAGGCAAGCUGGGGUAUUUUUGGCCACAGAGCUCUUGCUGUGAUGGAUGUAUCAGGAAUGGAUUCCUCCAGAGAGAGCUGCCAGAAACUUUAUCCCUGCUUUGCUGUGUUGUUUUCCUUGUAAAUCAGCCCUCUCACAAAAAACAUUACGCUGACAUGGCCAAUCCCAGAUACUAAACAACAAAACUCCGAGCAAGCCUUACCCAGACAGUCUCCUCUUCUAUCUGACCAGCUGAGUAAACUUGAAGAAGUAACUAAUGACUUGCAUACACGUACACAGGAAAAUAUUUGGGUUUAAAAUAAAUCCCCAGAAUACUGUAACCCUCAGCGCUUUACAUUACAGUGACUUUCAGCCCUUAAUGAUGUAUUGCUGUCAGAUGAAAUUAAUAUUGCCAACGUGGAGACAAAUGUGUCUCACACACCUAAACCACUGCGUGUCCCCCAUGUGGGCACCAUUUUGAGCAAGGCGCAACUUCAGCCCUACUUUGAUGCUUCUGGUUAGGAGGGAAAAGGCUGAGGUGGUGAGCCUUAACAUGUUGAAACCAUCUCAGCAUUUUACCCUGACUAGAACUCGUUAACACUGCUUCGGAUGCACGUACGUAUCAGUAUGAGAAACCAGGAAAGUCAGUGAGGAACUGAGGAACAAGCGGCAGUGGCUGUCACCUGAGUGUCAAUCCUCGUGCAGUUGCACCAGCAAGAAAACGCGUCCCCCGUGAAGACACACAGCAUGGGCUGACAGAUAGAGAACCCAUGCCCAAACAGCAUCCAAAGAGAAGGAAAAUUCCAGUAUUUAGCAAAUGUGGGUGAUCUCCAGCACAGGUUGGGGAGUUGUCUGUGGAGCGUACUGUCCAACGGUGAAUGUAUUCUUUCCUUUGAAAUGCCUGAGAGUCUGAAGUGAAAUUACGUCAAUUUUGUUCCUAGCUCUAAAGUUUAUUAAGUUGAUGCCUACUUGUACAGGGCUAAGCCUGUGAGGCCCAUGUUUUUCUGAAGUAACAUUUUCCUGUAUAGUCUAUUUUCUAUUACAAUGACUUGAUUGUAGAACUGAAAUGAAUGUCAGGAUUGUUUGCUGGAUACAUUACCAGAUACCUUCUUUUCUGAGGCCCAGUAAGAGAAAUUAGGUUUGCAACAGAGAUCAUUUUUGUUAUUUUGAAGUGAAGGUUUCAUAUCAUAUAAAGCAUUCCCAGACAGUGAUUUGCAUUAGGCAUUUUGUUCACUAGGUGUACUUCCAAGGUUAUUUAUGGGAGACAAUUCCCACCUCAAGUUGCCACAUAUUUGUCCUGUAGAUUUUGAAAGCUGCAUUUAGAGAAAAUAAAAAACAUUGCGAAAUAACCUUUCUCCAAAGCCAAAAGAUUUUGUGAACAGCACAUUAAGACAGAGAAGGUGGAGCUACCCAUGAGCAAGGUGACACGAGGAUGCAGCAAGCCAAUGCCGUACCAUCUCUGAGGAUGGCCAGCAGAAAUGACAGGAAACCAAGCCACCCUUGCCCCAGGGAGCCUGCUGACAGGGUUGCCAAGGGGCAGAAAGGAAGCUGACCCGUGUCACGCCUCAUUUCAGUUGCUCUCAUGUUUCCUUUUCUCACCAGGAUGUAAUGGAUUUCUAAGAAGGAUCAGCUCCUCUGUUCAAUGAAAAGAGGCAAUGAGCAAAACUGGAGCACAAGAAGUUCCAGCUAAACAUCAGGAAACACUUCUGUACUGUGUGGAUCAGGGAGCCCUGGCACAGGCUGCCCAGAGAGGGUCUGGGGGCUCCUCCUGGAGAGCUUCAAACCCACCGGGACCUGGGGCUGGGCACCCUGCUCGGGUGGCGAGGGACCUGAGGGAUCUGAGGUCCCUGCCCACAUCAGCCAGGCUGCGGUUCUGUGAUUCCCAGCCAGACGAUGAGAAACAUGUCAAAUAUGUAUGUAUGUAUUUACAUAGGCAUGUAAAAUUAUAUGGGCAUGAGGGAUGGAUAUAUUUGGGCAGUUAGAUUAAGAUGGUUAGAUUAAGACCCAUUUCUCUAGUUUCUUGGCAUUCUACAAGAAAAAUGUUGCAUUUCCUUGUAAAAUACUCUUUCAUUCCCAACCAGGAAGGCUCCUGGUCUUCUGCUCUGCCAGAGAAGAACUAGGAGAAGUUUCAGGGCUCUCCUCUCCUGUUGGUAUAGGAUGUCAGUCCUACACCAGAGAAAAUCCCUGACCCAGGCUGCUUUUCUUCUCAUUCAGAGGAUAGGGACCAAAGACCUAACAUCUUGUCUCCAUACCAAAGUGCCUCGCUGUGGCUCUAGGGAAGGACUACAAGUGAGUUUAAGUAGAUACAGUAAAACAGGCUUAAAUGUACAUAAUAUUCCCCUAUGGAUGUGUGUGAGAAGCAAUGCUCCUGAUUCAUCAAACCCAAUAAAUCAAAGCUGCAUUCCUCCAAAGUGCAAGAAACUAGAGGUUAAGGAACCAAGGGGGGAAAUUUUAGGUUCCUACUGAACUCAAAGGGGAUUUGGCACUGACUUCUAUAGGAAAUGUCUUCAGUUCUUGUAGUGAGCUCUAACUGAAACUAAGCUUGAAAGAUAAUCCUUCAGAUCCAGUCUAGGAGACCAUGUGUGUGGGUGUGCUUACUGCUAACAUUUAUCACUGUGUGGUGGAGCCCCAGAAGUCUGCUGAAGAGAAAGGCCCUCCUGUUCGAGGCAGGCCACAUGUUUUUCCUGGAGAGCAGCAGAGGGAUCAAUGAAGCCACAGGAGAGCAGACCUACCAUGCAGCUGAGCCAGUGAAGCUUGGAGGAUGUCCCUUCUCGCAGUCCCUUUCACAAGUUCCCCUGUUUGGAGCCAUGUGUGGUCCAGCCCUGACCUCAGUCCCCAGUACAGCAUUACUUGAUUGGUUAAAAAGACUUGUUUUGGGCAAGAGCCCUGGCAGUUCCUUUCUCACAACAAGCAGUUUCCUUACCUUCUUCUCUCAAAAUGUAUCGAACCAAUUGUCGAGUACUUAAAAAUAUCUACCUGGAAUGCAGUGUAUUUGUUCAAUAAAUCUCUACCUUUUCUGUGAGCAAAAAUUAACAUCAUUAAUCCCACUUUACAAGCUAGGAAGCUGAAACACAAAGAGGAAAAAUAAUGUAACAGAGAGAGAGCAUGAGAUACAACCAGGCUCCUGGUGUUCAGCACAAGUCACGCAGCUGGAGGCUAUCUAAGUGGCCAGAGCUCUGCUCACCAACAUCACUCUUCCAAAACAGUUGACCUUACAUCUCGGGAUGGAUUAGAAAAAUAAAGCAUAGAUAUCAAAGGCUAAACUCCAGCCUCAUUCAAACACAUUCAAUUGAGUGUUCAUGCAACAGAGGUUAACACUUGCAAUGAUUUUUAUGGGCAAUAUUUUUUACCAUAGGAUUUGUGGCAGACAAAGGCAUGACUUCUCAAGCAGUUUCAAUAAUUGUGUUAUAUUUAACAGUACCAAAUAAAAACACAGCAGUUGG